This 695-nucleotide long non-coding RNA is filed under the name Vulpes vulpes (red fox). RNAcentral describes it as "lncRNA (ENSVVUG00000014029.1)". Lineage: Eukaryota; Metazoa; Chordata; Mammalia; Carnivora; Canidae. The record is from RNAcentral.
CAGAAGAUAUGAGUUCUAGAACUUUUCCUCUGCAUUCCCUUUUCAGCUCCCUGUUUUCUUAUCUGCAAAAUGAGAUCUUUAACUACCAGCAGAGUGUGGAGCCUGCUUAAGAUUCUCUCUCUCCCCUCCUCCCUUAGCCUACUCUUCCACUCACAUGCUGUCUCUCUCUCCCACAAAAAAAUAAAUAAAAUAAUAAAAUAAAAUAAAAUAAAAUAAAAUAAAAUAAAAUAACAUCUUCAAACCUAAGUAUAAAUUUCAAGGAGAAUCCUGGAGAAGAAUUGUGUUGUUGACAAUGGCAUCUUAAAAAAAGAAGAAGAAGAAGAAGAAGAAGAAGAAGAAGAAGAAGAAGAAGAAGAAGAAGAAGAAGAAGACAGGAGAGCUGCUGCAUCUCAAAAUGGAGAAAUGAGGGGAGGAAUGAGUUGGCUGAGGUGGCCAAAGACUCUCCUAGGGACAACAAACUCCACAAGAUUUUCGAGUACCUUCAGAAUAAAUCAGCCAUGGAGCUCUAGAGAAAAAGCCCAGUGUAACGCUCAAACGUGUGGAGGGGAGCGGAUCAUUUUCUACAGAACUGUGUGCAAUUCUUAUCAGGCCAAGUCCAGCUGCUCCUGGCUAACUAGCUUGCCCAAGUGACUCCCCCGGGCCCCAGCUAGGAGCAACUAAAAUAAAAUGCAAAAGGCACCACCCCUUCCCCCUCA